GGAAUUUGUGACAUCAAACUAAUCCCACCAAAUAUCGUCUCAUCUCAGAUGCUAAACAGGGUUGGGUAUGGUUAGUACUUGGAUGGGAGACCCCCUGGGAAUACCAAGUGCUGUAUCUG
Molecule: ribosomal RNA, 119 nt
Filed under: Amphilophus citrinellus (Midas cichlid)
Lineage: Eukaryota; Metazoa; Chordata; Actinopteri; Cichliformes; Cichlidae
Source: RNAcentral